CCUUCCAGCCGAUUGGGCAGAGCCGCACCCAACCCUAGCCUCCAAUGCUCAACCACCCACUCCUCCCUCUCCUCCCUCCCACAGCCGCCGCACCCCUCUCUCUCUCCCUUGCGUGUGCAUGGCGACGGGAGGGUACGACGCAGGGAAGGACACCGCCGUCGCCCCGUCGCCUAGGAACCAUGUCGGCGCCCACCGCGCGGGUUGGGGCUGGGCAGAAAGCCGGUGCCUGCGUGCCAAAGUAGCGGGGUCAACCGUGGAGGGUGGCUCACUGGCCAGAGCAGCAGGAGCAAGGAGGUCGUUGAGCGGCAAAUGUGGGAAGGGUCGGUAGUGGAGUGAGGCUCGCCGCCCGGAGCAGCAGGAGCAAGGAGGACGAUUUGGUUGAGGGUUCGAGCAGCAGCUGGAUCAUGUAUAUAUUUGCAGGGCAAGACAAGCACAUUAGUUGGAUCAUGAACUUACAGGAUGGUUUCCCCUGCCACAACCAUUGUCAUCGGCCUGCAUUCCCUCGUCAAGCGUGCAUUGGUGCUAGAUAUGCAAGCUGCAACAGCGCAUCAACGGGCAGGCAAGAGCAAGAUGAUGGUCAUGAUUUUUGCCAAGCUGUGGAAGACAAUGUUAACUGAAGCCACUUUUGUUGGUCAUGGAUUUACAAGAAAGCCAGUAGAGUAUGAAAAGGUUCUCAUGGGACUCACCCUGAACUGAAAUCUAUCUUCAACCUUGCUUAAACUGAAAGCAAUGCAUGGUAUUGUUCAAUUUGAAGUGUACUUGAUGUGUGCAGAUCUGAGGAUGAAGGGAAGAAGAUAGACUUUAGCUGAAGAGUUGAAUAAGAUCAAGGUUAUUAUUCCACAAUCAUUUGUUGCAUCCAUUAUGUCUUCACCCAAUCCAUCUCUCUCUUUCUGCUGGCUGCUGCCACACGUGGACGGUAGUGGUUCAUUUUCCUAUAACAUUUGGCAUUUCUACAGUUUUAUCAUGUAUAGCUGGAUCCAGAAAAUGUAGAUAAGAAAUUUUUACAAGAGAAAUAAAGUGCAUAGGUUACGCCUCUUAAUUUUUCUUCAACUGUUUUUGGUAAAAUUGCGUACCUAGGCAUCAGUAUAUUUUGUGACAGGAAUCUGCACUAUGUUCUUAUGCUUUUAGCAAUACCAAUCUUAUUUUGUUUCUUGGUGGAAUUUCUUACCUAGGCAUAAAAUAUGCCAAAAGAAUCUGCACUAUGUUCUUAUGUUUUCAGUAAUGAGCGUCUUGUUUAGAUUCUCGAGGUUUUAGCCCUGCUGACUUCUGAAUAAUUAUUCAUUCAUGAGAUUUGCUGUAGAAUUGCUUACCUAGGCAUAAAAAACGUAAAGAAGCUGAGAUUGGCUGCAGUUUUGAUGUACUUUUGUAAUGUUUUCCUGUUUGUACAUACUUUAUUGGUUUGCUUGAAACUGCGUUUUAAUAUGUGCUUGUAGGCUCUACAGGAUCCAGUGAUGGAUCUGAGUGUCAGCACUCGAGUUAUAAGUUUCUUCUAGCAUGUAGACACACUAAUUAGAUUCAGGAAUUAUUUGGUACAUCUCAGCUUUGCGGCAUCAUGUGUAGAGGGUCAUGUUAAUAAAUAUAUCUGGCCUGCACUUAGAUGUUAUUUUCUUGUAAUUGAUAACUCAUACGAAUUCUGCAACAUAUUGUGCAUAGCGAUACACCUCUACUGAAAUACUACUUUCUUAUUCACAUUUCAAUCCCACACCUAACUUUACAUCAUUUCUAAUCUCAUCUUUUCUCCUGAAUUUUAGUCUGCUUCAGUAAUGUUGUGGCAUGCCGCAAAACAACCACAUUUUUGCUGCUGUGAUUUGGUCCAUCCUGUGCAUUUCAGUUCCUGGUGCUCUCGAACGUUUGUUAGCUAAUGCCACCAGGAGGGCUGCCCACCCAAGACUUGUAAUGUGGGCAUCGGUACUGUCCUUUGACAUAUUUGGAAGUCACAUAAAGAUGUCGUUUCAACUCCGUCAGGUGCCAGGCCAAGGAUGUUACUCAUCGUUGCUGUGAAGACCUUGCGGUGUGGUGUCGGUCGUUCACAUCUUAUACUAGAAUAUAUAAACUGAGCAUCAUGUCUGCAUCCAUGCUAUUUUUUGGUUUCUGUAAUCUAACCACCAAUAGUAUGAUAUAUAGGAUCUCUGGACAAACAACCACAAUGGGAGCAUUGUUUGGUGCAGCACAGACAAUAGCCACUACAAUGAGCAGUGAAGCUGCAAAUUAACAGCUGGAGUAAGGAAAAGGAUCUUGGAGAGUACAGAAUAAUGAAUACAAUGUAUUGUCUAUAGUUCCAACUCCUAAUGUCAACUUAAUGUCUACCUCAUGUGUUAGUGCUUUACAAUGGAUGCGAAAAGGUCAAAAACUGUAACUGAAGCUUUUGUCAGGUUGUAUAAAGAUGACCUUAUUUAUAGGUUAGUAUCCUCAUCUUCCCUUGUUCCAGGUGUUAAGCAUUUGUGUUUUGCCUGUUAAGUAAUGCCAUGGUGUUUUGACAUAAAGCUGUGAGUCAGUGUACUGGUUUAACAGAUCGUAUUGUCAUAUUCACCUUUUCUUUGGAAAUAAAGAAGAAUUAGUUAGUUUUCGGUUUGAAUGUCAGGCAAAAAUCAAAUGGGAGAAGCGACCUGUCAGUCCAGAUUCUAAUUGUUAUUUGGUGUUGAGAUUCAUAUGGCUGAGACAUAAUUUUAACUGGGCGCCUUCAGAUGUAAUCUAUUGCCUCUGACAUGUGAUUUGCUACAAAAUCAUGUCUCAACCAUCUGUAUUUUACAUUACUACUGUAAGCUUCUGAAAUGUAAAUUAUGCUAGGAUGUUUAGUUUUAACUAUGAUAUCCUAAAUGCGCAUGUAAAUACUAAUGGGAUUACGACUAAAAAAAAUCAUGACAUGCGAGCAAUUCUUGGUUGAAAUACCGUGAGCUUAAAUAACAGGAGCUAAACUGUUGUGCUAUGUUCAGAAUUGGUACUAGAAAAGAUAAUCUAAACUGUACAUUCUGAAAGUAUAUUGGACUCUUGCCCUUUUGAAAUUAGUCUUCUAAGUAUUACUUUGUAAUAAAUGACAUGAUAACAUGUUGGUUCAGUUUAAAGCUGUAGGCAGAGGCUUGCGGUAGGGGAAAAUCAUUGCCAGUCGAAAACCAAAACGUUUAUUUGUGAGUAUGAUCAGGACUGUGCUUAUUCUGAAAGUAUGUUACGCUCCUGCUCUUGGGUGAUUAAGCCGUUGUGGUUUUGCUUGGUAAAUAAAUGACAUGCUAAACAUUGGUUGUUAUUUCGGUGGCGGCGACCAAUAAUAUAAUGAAGUUCCUUGCUUAGAUGGUUGGUUAAGUCAUGGGUACAGCAAGGAAAGGGCCAGCAAGAAAAUUAGCCAAUAAGUGGUUGACUGGUUUAAGUAAGUUGAAUCCCUUUGUAUAUGACAUCAGUUUAGUUUCUGCCACGAACCUGUUUAAGAUGCCUCUCAAGCACCGCCCUGAGGACAAGGCGGCUAAGAGGGCUUCUGAAAAAGACCCAGGCUGAGGCUGAGGGGGAAACCGUUGAGGCCAAGCCAAUUGCUCUGAAAUAUGGUCAUAGCCAUGUCACUUACCUCAUCGAGCAGAGCAACCCUCAGCUGGUCGUCAUCGCUCAUGAUGUUGACCCAGUUGACCUGGUUGUGUGGUUCCCAGCCCUGUGUGCAGGAAGUUGGGAGGUCCCAUACUGCAUUGUUAAGGGAAAAUCACACCUUGGAUUAGUAUAUUCUCACCUGUUCUACCCUUCUGAAAUCUGUUACUGUAACUAGGAACAAAUGCUCACCCUCUGUUGAUUGUUCACAAGAAGACCGCCUCUGUUCUCUGCCUUACCACUGAAGAACGAGGACAAGCUUGAAUUCAGCAAAAUCUUGGAGGCUAUCAAGGCUAACUUCAAUGACAAGUUCGACGAGGUCAGGAAGAAGCGGGAGGUGGUGUUUUGUGAAGCUCGCCGUUUCAGAGCCAUAUGAUUUUUUUAUAGAAACAUGAGCAGAGUAAAAUGGGCACAACUUCUGGUACAUGUGAGGGGCUGUGCAGGACAAAAUGUUAUGGAUCCAGAGGAGUGGGAGGGGAGAGUUUAUCAAAAACGCAUCAAGGAGAAAGCGUGACGUGGAUUCCGAAGUUCCAGCUAACAUAGCAAAAUUGUAUAUAGAGAAUGCCUGCAUUUUGCUAUUACAUAGUUUGGGGCUAUGUUUCUUUUAAUUUUUGUUAUUAAAAGGAUCCUUUUAUUAUUGCCAAAUUAUCAAGCAUUUAUUUUCAAAUAACUCUUGGUUUGAAAUGGGACCUUGCUCCAUUUGGCGCAGUGAGUAAUGUUAUAUGUCUUAUUGUAGACAGGAAGCCUCCAUUCUUAUUGUAGACAGGAAGCUUUUGUUCUUUUUCGCUAAGAGUGGUUAAAUUUGUUACCA
Molecule: long non-coding RNA, 4378 nt
Organism: Triticum dicoccoides
Lineage: Eukaryota; Viridiplantae; Streptophyta; Magnoliopsida; Poales; Poaceae
Exons: 8
Source: RefSeq, a predicted model, not a curated record